Long non-coding RNA from Brassica rapa (field mustard), 3138 nucleotides. RefSeq lists it as uncharacterized. NCBI's taxonomy places the organism in Eukaryota, Viridiplantae, Streptophyta, Magnoliopsida, Brassicales, Brassicaceae. The record is from RefSeq and is a predicted model, not a curated record.
AUAUGUUCGGUUAUUUUCGGAUAUCCAUUCGGGUUCGGAUAUUACCCGUUCGGGUUCGGAUAUCCAAUCUCUCCUAAUUCAAUACCCGUUCGGAUAUUUUGCUACUUCGGUUCGGAUUUCGGUUCGGGUUUUUCGGAUCGGGUUCGGAUGCCACUUCGGAUUUCGGGUAAAAUGCCCACCCCUAGAAACUUGAAUACAAUUUGCAUGUUUGGCUCAAAAUGACAAUAAGUAUGAAAUCAUUAUGACAUAUGUGUACUUUAGACUAGACUUGGGACCAUUCUAAAGUAUAAUUUUAAUAACAACGGCUACAAAGCCUAGUAGUUCUAGCCCACAAUAUAUACGAUGGGCAAAACCUAAACCACAACACUAAGCAAGUUUAAUGACUAACGAAUUUAUAGCCAUCAUGCCAAAAACGCUUUGACAUGAAGCUUCUUUCUGGUUCUUCAAUCAAAAACGCUAUUUAACCAAUUAAAGAUUGCAAUAUUAAAUUUUGGUAUUUAAGGGUUCACAUUUGUGUUGAAAUGUGCAUAUCCGAUUUUUUUUUUUUCCAAAAUAGUGUUUAUGCACAAAAUCAAACAUCUAUACUAUUAAAAUAGAAGUCAUAAUUUUGUUCAUGUGUGAUUUUUCUUAUUUGGACCAUCUUUUAAUUUUUAAAAAAUUAUUAUAGCAAUGCUAAUCUUUGUUGGUAUAUGAAUAUUGCAUUAUUCAGUUACCAAUCGAGUAAAAUAAAAUAUGUAUCACUUACAAAUAGGGACUCCAUCUAACGGAUCCAACCCAUUAUUCAGUUACCAACCCAUAUAACAACUUUUUAUUUAUCCCCACAGAAAAAUAUAAAACUAAAAUUACAUCGUAUAUAAAUAUAUUAUAUUUUUAUAUCAAAAAAAAAAUUUAUAUCAUGUCAUUGUACUAAAAUCUAAUAAUUUACAUAUAUCAAUUUUUAUGUCAAAAAUACAUAUAUCUUCAAGAACAUAACCCAUGCGUACAGAGCAUCAUGCCAGAAAGUUAUUUUACUUUCGCAUACACAUAAUAUAUAUAAAGUGAUAAAAUUAAAAAGAUUUUUUUUUGUAAUCAAGAAUCUAUAAAAUUAUAAAAAUAAUUCAUAGAAAAUAAAAAGAUAAUAGAUUAACUAAUUUUCAUAGAAAUAUAAUUCAUAAAAUUUAGUUAAUUAUAAAAAUAUAAUAAAUAAUUUUUUUGUUCAUAAUUUAGUGUAUAUAAUUAGAUAAAUUUAUUAUAAAAACAUUUACAAUAAUAAGUUGGAUAUAUUAAAUCGAUAUAUUUUUAAGUUUUUAAUCAUUAUUUUUGGUAAAUGUUGCGAGUGAUAGAAUAAGUUUGACAUUAAACCAUAUUGUAGUCCAUAUAGUAGGAAAAAUGCAUUAUCUAAGAAACAUGUGUAUUUAAAAAUAUAGAUGUACUAAUAUAUAUAUAUAUAAUCAACUAAAUGGUAGGUUUUAUAAGCAAAUACUCUAAAAAAUAUUAUAUAUAUUGUCUAUAAUUAUUAAAUUAUAAGUUAUUUAACCGUCUAAAACUGAAAUAUAUAAAUAAUUAAAAUUAUAAAAUUGAUAUAUAAAAUUAUUUAAAAAACAGUCGUGUGGAUCAGACCCUAGUUUCAUUCUUAAUUUUCCUAAAAUAAUUAUAAUUGCUGCCUGUUUUCUGAACAUAUAACAAUGUCAUUAAAAAAAAGGAAACUAUUUCAAAUAUGGAGUAUUGAAUGUAAAAAAAAAAAACAUUUAAUACCACAAACACUCAGAACGACAUCGUAUCAUUGCGUCCAUCUUUGCUAAAAUUAAUACGAUAUUGCGAGCUGUUGAAUUUCCCCGGCAACUUCCCAAGGAGACAGAAGAAGAAAAGAGAUGAAGAAGACGGAAAGGAAUCAACUUUCGAUUCUACGCCACUCUCUUCCUCUGUUUCUCCUCAUCUCUCCCAGGAGUAGCUCCUCGUUAUUUCCACAAGGGUGAUCCUCUUUAUGUCAGAGUUAACAAGAAGUCUUCUACCAAGACCCAGCUUCCUUAUGACUACUACUACUCGAAUUACUGUAAGCCUCCUAAGUUCUUGAACAAUGCUGAGAAUUCAGUUUAUACUGUAAGUAAUACCCCCAUUCUUCCGGCUCUUGUUGUUGUUAGAUUGCUUUUUUCAUAAGCUAACGGGUCUUUAUCUUUUGUUGGAUACUAUCUUGCAUGAGUAUAAGGAGUGGGAUAAAAACAAUCCUUAGCUAACAGCAUGCAACAAGGCCACAGAGAAUUUAAUCCAAAGCAAUACUGGCCCUCAAGAAGUUGAGGAAGGAAAAGAAAUUGUGUUUAAAUAUGAUGUCUCAUUUAAGGAGAGUGAAAUCAAAUGAGCUUCUCGGUGGGACACAUGUCUUCUUCAUCAUGACAUCCAUAUGGCUGAACCAGUUCUACUACAUCUUCGGGUUCCUCUUCAUAGUGUUCUUGAUCUUGUUCGUCACCUGUGCACUGUGCUCUGCUACUUCCAGCUUUGCAGUGAGGACUACAACUGGUGGUGGAGAGCUUACUUAACCGCAGGCUCAUCUUCUUUCUACUCUAUCUUUUACUUCUUCACAAAGUUGGUCUCUGGAAUGCUCUACUUAGGGUACAUGAUCAUCAUCUCUUACGCUUUCUUCGUCCUGACUGGCACAAUUGGUUUCUUCUAGGCUUGCUUCUGGCUCGUUAGAAAGAUCUACUCUUCUGUGAAAAUUGAUUAGAAACCCAAGACAGAAGAAACACAACUGAUGAAUUCUGAAUGUGAUUAAUCUUCAAGACAAUGCUGUGAACUGAUAUAUUCUUCAAGAAUUAAAGAUGUUUCAUUAAAGAGAAAUAAAAACAUUACAUAAGUUUAGCAAUGAGAUAAUUGCAGAGAAUGUCUCAGGCUAAUACAACUACUACAACAACAACAAACACAACACGUUGGAAGCAAAACUCAGAGAAUAAUAUAAUCCCAGUUUUGCCCUCAAAGAAUCAUCAACACAUGGACACCUAUUCUCCAGUCUCAAUGUGCUUCUUCUUCUUUCUUUCUUGGGUUACAAUUACCACACAAGCUUAUUCACAUAUAAAUCACAACUCUGCAAAUAGUUUGAACGGUGUGUUGUGUCCCUUUUGUACAACUUCCACCGCUUGUAAAAUAGCCACAACAACAUACUAAUAC